CAGCAGCCACGGGAAUACGUAGGUGGCAAGCGUUGUCCGGAAUUAUUGGGCGUAAAGGGCUCGCAGGCGGUUUCUUAAGUCUGAUGUGAAAGCCCCCGGCUCAACCGGGGAGGGUCAUUGGAAACUGGGAAACUUGAGUGCAGAAGAGGAGAGUGGAAUUCCACGUGUAGCGGUGAAAUGCGUGGAGAUGUGGAGGAACACCAGUGGCGAAGGCGACUCUCUGGUCUGUAACUGACGCUGAGGAGCGAAAGCGUGGGGAGCGAACAGGAUUAGAUACCCCUGUAGUCCCUGUCUCUUAUAA
RNAcentral lists this ribosomal RNA (301 nucleotides) under uncultured bacterium. RNAcentral's name for it is "partial 16S ribosomal RNA". It matches the Rfam family "Bacterial small subunit ribosomal RNA", at positions 509 to 809 of the family's 1533-position model. The record is from RNAcentral.